This is a long non-coding RNA of Poecilia latipinna (sailfin molly), 504 nucleotides long. RefSeq lists it as uncharacterized. The record is from RefSeq and is a predicted model, not a curated record. Lineage: Eukaryota; Metazoa; Chordata; Actinopteri; Cyprinodontiformes; Poeciliidae. The transcript is spliced from 2 exons.
UCUGAAUGAACUGGACCUGGGCUUUAACAACCUGAAGAAGAUUCAAGUUCAGCUGCUGUUGCAGCUACGGAGAGACCCAUACGCACUGAGACUUGUGAGGUGGAGGGGGAACACACCAGUUUGAAAAGAGAAGCUGAGCUGUGUGGUUGAAGCUGCAGCAGUUUGAGUCUAAAGAGGCUCUUUCUGGAUCAUGAUGGUGACCUUUGACCUGAAAGAUUUUCAUUUUAUUUUCUCAUGUCUAUCAUUUAAUGUCUGAUAUUUUGUCUCUUUAGAUCAAUGAUCAAAUUCAAACUCCAAUUAAUCCCUAUUAAUCAGUCCCUUUCAAUUGCAACUAUGUACACAAGUUUACUCACCAUUGGUAAUUUUUUUCACCCGUAAUCACUUUUUAUACUGGAGGGGCUCAGUUUGGUUCUGAACUUGAUUCAACUGGAAAGCUGAUCUUUUUUCUUUGUGAUUUAUUUUCAUCCUGGAACCAGAAAUGCAAAAUAAAACGAUUCAACAGUU